GUCUGUUCCUGUGCUAUGAUUCAUAAGUAUUGAUUUGGCAAGAAGAGGCUUGGGUUGUGAUGUAAAGCCUCUUAUGAUUCAAUUGUCUAAAGCCUUAAUUACUUAAGCUCUCUGCAUGUAGGAUGAAUUGAAUCUCAGCAGAACUGACCAGUUUCAUUCAGGAAGGGUGACGAAGAUUGAAGAUCUGCCACUCACAAUACGCUUGGGACAAUUCCAGAGUUCAACACACCCACCAAGCUGCCCAUUAUUGGAACAUGGGAGAAAAUCAAAGAGCUCAGAGGAAAGUCACAUGGAGAACAUGCAAACUCUGCAGAGACAGCACCAGACAUCAGGAAGCGACGGUUGGGGCGGUGUGUGUGUCGGCUUUCAAUUUCAAACGCGGGGUUGGCUCGAGUCUGAUGGCAGUUUGACGCGACCUCCCCCUUCGCCCGCUACUCGGGACGGCUGGAGACACUCGCUAAAAGAAGAGAGCGCGCGUGGUCUCCAGAAUGAAACAGACGCUGUAUAUGUUUGUAUUUUUUUAUCAACAGUUUUCACCAUACGAUGUUAAUGUGGAAGAGUGAACAGUAAAUGGUUAACCUUACUAUGACUCUGUCUUCAUUGGCUCCGGUUUAACUUGGUGUUUAGUCAGAGUUUCAACACAUUGCAUGAGAACACUACAAUCAUCAAUAUGAAACAAUAACGCUUUUCUAUCCAUGCACGCAUGCAGCCUGACUCCUGCAUGUUUUUGGUAUUUUUCAUG
This is a long non-coding RNA of Mobula hypostoma (lesser devil ray), 742 nucleotides long. RefSeq lists it as uncharacterized. The record is from RefSeq and is a predicted model, not a curated record. The transcript has 3 exons. NCBI's taxonomy places the organism in Eukaryota, Metazoa, Chordata, Chondrichthyes, Myliobatiformes, Myliobatidae.